CUAACCAUGCAAGUCGAACGGUAACAGGAAGAAGCUUGCUUCUUUGCUGACGAGUGGCGGAAGGGAGAGAAAUGUCUGGGAAACUGCCUGAUGGAGGGGGAUAACUAUUGGAAACGGUAGCUAAUACCGCAUAACGUCGCAAGACCAAAGAGGGGGACCUUCGGGCCUCUUGCCAUCGGAUGUGCCCCGAUGGGAUUAGCUUGUUGGUGGGGUAACGGCUCACCUAGGCGACGAUCCCUAGCUGGUCUGAGAGGAUGACCAGCCACACUGGAACUGAGACACGGUCCAGACUCCUACGGGAGGCAGCAGUGGGGAAUAUUGCUCAAUGGGCGCAAGCCUGAUGCAGCCAUGCCGCGUGUAUGAAGAAGGCCUUCGGGUUGUAAAGUACUUUCAGCGGGGAGGAAGGGAGUAAAGUUAAUACCUUUGCUCAUUGACGUUACCCGCAGAAGAAGCACCGGCUAACUCCGUGCCAGCAGCCGCGGUAAUACGGAGGGUGCAAGCGUUAAUCGGAAUUACUGGGCGUAAAGCGCACGCAGGCGGUUUGUUAAGUCAGAUGUGAAAUCCCCGGGCUCAACCUGGGAACUGCAUCUGAUACUGGCAAGCUUGAGUCUCGUAGAGGGGGGUAGAAUUCCAGGUGUAGCGGUGAAAUGCGUAGAGAUCUGGAGGAAUACCGGUGGCGAAGGCGGCCCCCUGGACGAAGACUGACGCUCAGGUGCGAAAGCGUGGGGAGCAAACAGGAUUAAAUACCCUGGUAGUCCACGUCGUAAACGAUGUCGACUUGGAGGUUGUGCCCUUUAUGCGC
This 802-nucleotide ribosomal RNA is filed under the name uncultured bacterium. RNAcentral describes it as "bacterial SSU rRNA". It matches the Rfam family "Bacterial small subunit ribosomal RNA", at positions 48 to 840 of the family's 1533-position model. The record is from RNAcentral.